Molecule: non-coding RNA, 213 nt
Filed under: Neobacillus niacini
Lineage: Bacteria; Bacillati; Bacillota; Bacilli; Caryophanales; Bacillaceae
Description: Bacillus niacini partial 16S ribosomal RNA
Rfam family: Bacterial small subunit ribosomal RNA
Source: RNAcentral
CAUUUAGUUGGGCACUCUAAGGUGACUGCCGGUGACAAACCGGAGGAAGGUGGGGAUGACGUCAAAUCAUCAUGCCCCUUAUGACCUGGGCUACACACGUGCUACAUUGGAUGGUACAAAGGGCUGCAAGACCGCGAGGUUUAGCCAAUCCCAUAAAACCAUUCUCAGUUCGGAUUGCAGGCUGCAACUCGCCUGCAUGAAGCCGGAAUCGCU